UACGUAGGCAGCAAGCGUUGUUCGGAGUUACUGGGCGUAAAGGGGGUGUAGGCGUUUCCUUAAGUUUGCUGUGAAAUCUCCCGGCUUAACCGGGAGGGUGCGGUGAAUACUGAGGGACUAGAGUACGGGAGAGGAAAGUGGAAUUCCUGGUGUAGCGGUGAAAUGCGUAGAUAUCGUAAGGAAGACCAGUGGCGAAGGCGGGUCUCUGGACAGUUCCUGACACUGAGGCACGAAGGCCAGGGGAGCAAACGGG
This 253-nucleotide ribosomal RNA is filed under the name uncultured bacterium. Its description in RNAcentral is "partial 16S ribosomal RNA". It matches the Rfam family "Bacterial small subunit ribosomal RNA", at positions 524 to 776 of the family's 1533-position model. The record is from RNAcentral.